UCCUACGGGGGGCUGCAGUGGGGAAUUUUGCGCAAUGGGCGAAAGCCUGACGCAGCAACGCCGCGUGCGGGAUGAAGGCUCUCGGGUCGUAAACCGCUUUCAGCAGGGAUGAAUAUGACAGUACCUGCAGAAGAAGCCCCGGCUAAAUACGUGCCAGCAGCCGCGGUAAUACGUAUGGGGCAAGCGUUAUCCGGAUUCAUUGGGCGUAAAGCGCGCGUAGGCGGCUUGUUAAGCGAGGAGUGAAAUCUGGGGGCUCAACCCGCAGCUUGCUUCUCGAACUGGCAGGCUUGAGUCUGGUAGAGGAAAGUGGAAUUCCUGGUGUAGCGGUGAAAUGCGCAGAUAUCAGGAGGAACACCAGUGGCGAAGGCGGCUUUCUGGGCCACGACUGACGCUGAGGCGCGAAAGCUAGGGGAGCGAACAGGAUUAGAUACCCCAGUAGUCC
This 442-nucleotide ribosomal RNA is filed under the name uncultured bacterium. RNAcentral's name for it is "bacterial SSU rRNA". It matches the Rfam family "Bacterial small subunit ribosomal RNA", at positions 337 to 796 of the family's 1533-position model. The record is from RNAcentral.